GAAGUCUCCGGGAGGAAAGUCCGAGCAACACAGAGCAUCAUACUACCUAACGGGUAGGCAGGUUUGGGAAAAGCCUGACAGAGAGUGCCACAGAAAACAACCGCCUGCAAAGGUAAGGGUGAAAAUGUGAGGUAAGAGCUCACAACCCGGCUUAGCGAUAGGUCGGGUGGGUAAACCUUAUGAGUUGAAAGACCAAAUAUAUCGGAAUCAAGGGCUGCUCGUCCGCUCCGAGGGGUAGGUCGUUUGAGGCCUGUCGCGAGGCAGGUCCUAGAUUAAUGAUAGAACGGCCUGGUUUCAGGCUGACAGAACUCGGCUUACAGAUG
Molecule: RNase P RNA, 323 nt
Filed under: chicken gut metagenome
Description: Bacterial RNase P class A
Rfam family: Bacterial RNase P class A
About the family: Ribonuclease P (RNase P) is a ubiquitous endoribonuclease, found in archaea, bacteria and eukarya as well as chloroplasts and mitochondria. Its best characterised activity is the generation of mature 5'-ends of tRNAs by cleaving the 5'-leader elements of precursor-tRNAs.
Source: RNAcentral